GAGGAGGCGAUGAUGUUGAGAACUACCUAUUUUCUGAGGGAAACCAUUCCUCAGUGAUUACAAAACUUACCAAUGGAUCCUUCUGAGCCGCCU
Rhodamnia argentea is the source of this 93-nucleotide small nucleolar RNA. NCBI's taxonomy places the organism in Eukaryota, Viridiplantae, Streptophyta, Magnoliopsida, Myrtales, Myrtaceae. The record is from RefSeq and is a predicted model, not a curated record.